Long non-coding RNA from Helianthus annuus (common sunflower), 604 nucleotides. RefSeq lists it as uncharacterized. The transcript has 3 exons. The record is from RefSeq and is a predicted model, not a curated record. Lineage: Eukaryota; Viridiplantae; Streptophyta; Magnoliopsida; Asterales; Asteraceae.
UUAUUUUAAGUUAAUAGUGUACUGGUUAUAACUAAUAUCAAAUCUUUACUAAUACUUGAUUUCUUUUUAUGAUGGUUGACUUUGCGAGAACUAACGGAGCAUUAGUGUCAAGAAUGGGCUGAGAUUCGAAUUCAGUCGGUUUUUCGCUCUUUUUUGACAAAAAGGGAUCAAGAUCGGGACCGUCCAUUUGACUUCACACGGAUCACCAUCUGCUUUCUCUCUCAAAGCUCACACAUCUGACAAAAAGGGAUGCCAAAAGCAGGGAAGUACAAUCUACAGGAAAAAGCAACACUUUACUUUUGUGUGAAAGACAGCUUGCUUGCUGCAGUCUCUAUAAUAUAUCAACACUCUUCCAUACACUGUUUGAAAGACAGCACUGCUUCCUUCAGUCUCUAUAAAUAAUCCAGAGAUAUCUACACUCUACUCACACUUUACAAACUCUCAACUACACUCAACUGAAAUUAAUAUAUCAACUCUUUGCAUUCGGAUCUUGCGUUGUUUCUCGGCUCUCACAUCAAGGUUUUAAAAUUUUUGUCGGCUUUUCACAUCUCCCUCUUGCAUUGUUGUAAGUUCUUUCAAAUAUGACAUAGUGAACGGAUAAAUU